UUGCUUCCUUUGCAUCACAUAUGCUAAAAUUGGAAUGAUACAGAGAUUAGUAUGGCCCUUGUGCAAGAAUGAAGUGGAAAUUCAUAAAACAUUCCAUAUUUUU
Molecule: small nuclear RNA, 103 nt
Organism: Antechinus flavipes (yellow-footed antechinus)
Lineage: Eukaryota; Metazoa; Chordata; Mammalia; Dasyuromorphia; Dasyuridae
Source: RefSeq, a predicted model, not a curated record